Molecule: long non-coding RNA, 1019 nt
Filed under: Zea mays
Lineage: Eukaryota; Viridiplantae; Streptophyta; Magnoliopsida; Poales; Poaceae
Description: long non-coding RNA (ZMAY_LNC003839)
Source: RNAcentral
AAGGGCAGAUUAUUAAAACAUAUACAAAGUAAAAAUAAAUAUAGAUGGAAGUGCUUACAAAUUAAAAAAUGGCGAAAAACUAUAUAUAUACUUGUUACCCAAAAAUGUAAAACAACUACACAUUUUAAUCAAACCAAUGCUCUAGUUAACAAGUAGGAGAUUCUACAAGUCGUUCUAGGUUACAAAAUAAAGCAGGACACUUGACUUUUUACCUGGAACUUGCCAGUUUCUACCAUAAAUGAACUUAAGUUAUUAGGGAUAAUACGAAAUACAAGCUCUGUCUGCCUUAUCUCCCUUUUUUCCCUUAUGCUCCCUGGUUCAUGGCCUGUACCAAUUUUAAGCUAAAUUCUCUUCACUGUCUAUUUCCAAGUACUUGUCACAUGUCCACGCAGCCGCUCAUCAAACUUUCCACAGCACAGCACAAAACCCUCCCUAAACCUUGCCAGCUAAUAUCGCCAGACGGACUCCAAAAUGGCAUGGCCGCAACCAUGCUUGAGGCGCUGAAGACCCUAGGCAAGAUUUUAGAUGGAUUAUCGACUCCAUAACUAGGACACCACGCAGCUCAAGAGUCCACAGGUAACCGGGUUAGAAAAAAAAAAUCGAAUUUUAACGCUCGCAGACGGGACAGGAAGGUCGCCAAGGACAAGGCGAGCAGCGAAUUCCAACCUCCAACUGAGGCAAAGCUCGAGUCGCUUACCCACGAGAGCAGAGGUCGAUCCGAGUCAAUCCGGAUAGUCGGAGCUUCACUGACGACCCGCGCCGCACCGGUAGAGCAACAGGAAGCCGGUAACAGGCAGUGCAGAAGGAGCGGAGAGGCGAGGUCGACGGCGAUGAACCACCCGCAGCUCGCGGCGGCCACCGAGGUCGACGACAGGAAGCAAGGGGACGGAGGAGUUGGGGAGAUCUAGACGGCGGACGGGCGGCAUCCAAGACUGAGGUGGAAAAGUUGGCUGGACAGCACAGGGGUCUUCUCAGACUGCAAACUCUGCUUCUGCUCGACUCCCUCCGAGUCAGGCUGG